RNAcentral lists this ribosomal RNA (158 nucleotides) under Listeria monocytogenes. RNAcentral's name for it is "partial 23S ribosomal RNA". It matches the Rfam family "Bacterial large subunit ribosomal RNA", at positions 2770 to 2925 of the family's 2925-position model. The record is from RNAcentral. Lineage: Bacteria; Bacillati; Bacillota; Bacilli; Caryophanales; Listeriaceae.
GCUGAAAGCAUCUAAGCGUGAAGCCCCCCUCAAGAUGAGAUUUCCCAUUUCUUCGGAAAGUAAGAUCCCUGAAAGAUGAUCAGGUAGAUAGGUUUGGAGUGGAAGUGUAGCGAUACAUGGAGCGGACAAAUACUAAUCGAUCGAGGACUUAACCAAAA